CACCGCCCGUUGCUCCUACCGAUUGAAUGGUCCGGUGAAGUGUUCGGAUCGCGGCGACGGGGGCGGUUCGCCGCCCCCGACGUCGCGAGAAGUCCAUUGCACCUUAUCAUUUAGAGGAAGGAGAAGUCGUAACAAGGUUUCCGUAGGUGAACCUGCGGAAG
This 161-nucleotide ribosomal RNA is filed under the name Triticum aestivum (bread wheat). RNAcentral's name for it is "rRNA SSU_rRNA_eukarya". It matches the Rfam family "Eukaryotic small subunit ribosomal RNA", at positions 1667 to 1823 of the family's 1831-position model. The record is from Rfam by way of RNAcentral. Lineage: Eukaryota; Viridiplantae; Streptophyta; Magnoliopsida; Poales; Poaceae.